Molecule: ribosomal RNA, 497 nt
Filed under: uncultured bacterium
Lineage: Bacteria
Description: partial 16S ribosomal RNA
Rfam family: Bacterial small subunit ribosomal RNA
Source: RNAcentral
GAUGAACGCUGGCGGCGUGCCUAAUACAUGCAAGUCGAGCGAACAGACGAGGAGCUUGCUCCUCUGACGUUAGCGGCGGACGGGUGAGUAACGCGUGGAUAACCCACCUAUAAUACUGGGAUAACUUCGGGACACCGGAUCUAAUACCGGAUAAUAUAUUGAACCGCGUGGUUCAAUGGUGAAUGACGGUUGUGCUGUCAGUUCUAGAUGGAUCCGCGCCGCAUUAGCUAGUUGGUACGGUCACGGCUUACCACGGCAACGAUGCGUGGCCGACCGGAGAGGGUGAUCGGCCACACUGGAACGGAGACACGGUCCAGACGCCUACGGGAGGCAGCAGUAGGGAACCUUCCGCAAUGGUCGAAAGCCUGACGGAGCAACGCCGCGUGAGUGAUGAAGGUCUUCGGAUCGUAAAACUCUGUUAUUAGGGAAGAACAAAUGUGUAAGUAACUAUGCCCGUCUUGACGGUACCUAAUCAGAAAGCCACGGCUAACUACGUG